Long non-coding RNA from Oncorhynchus tshawytscha (Chinook salmon), 352 nucleotides. Lineage: Eukaryota; Metazoa; Chordata; Actinopteri; Salmoniformes; Salmonidae. The record is from Ensembl.
UCACCUUUAUUUAACCAGGUAGGCCAGUUGAGAACACCUUUAUUUAACCAGGUAGGCUAGUUUAGAACACCUUUAUUUAACCAGGUAGGCUAGUUGAGAACACCUUUAUUUAACCAGGUAGGCCAGUUGAGAACACCUUUAUUUAACCAGGUAGGCCAGUUGAGAACACCUUUAUUUAACCAGGUAGGCUAGUUGAGAACACCUUUAUUUAACCAGGUAGGCCAGUUGAGAACACCUGUAUUUAACCAGGUAGGCUAGUUGAGAACACCUUUAUUAACCAGGUAGGCUAGUUGAGAACACCUGUAUUUAACCAGGUAGGCUAGUUGAGAACACCUUUAUUUAGCCAGGUAGG